UGAAAAAAACAAUAGAAACCAUUACAGAAUUUGUAAUGGUUUUAAUGGUUCUUAUUGGAAUUCUAAUGGUUUUAAUGGACACUGUAAUGGUCUCUGUGGGUCUCUAUUGGUAAUUUGCUUUCUUCUAUUGGUGGUGUAUUGUCUAUUGGAUACCAUUAAGGACCAAUAGAACACCUUUAGAAACUUCUAGUGGUAUCUACUGGACACCAGUAGAAACCAUUAUGACUCCAAUAAAUUAAGUGGUUUCUUUGGAAAACUGUAAUGGUCUUAGUGGGUAGGCUACUGCUGAAAAAAAAUGAACACACAAACAAUAGAAACCAUUACAAAAUUUGUAAUGGUUUUAAUGGUUAUAAUGGGAAUUAUGUUGCUUGUAAUGGUCACAGUAAUGGUCCCUGUGGGUCUCUAUUGGUAAAUUGCUUUCUUCUAUUGGUGGCAUGUAUUGUAUUGGAUUGCCACCAUACGUCAUUUGGAAAGGUUAUUUUUAAUUCAUUUAAUUUAUUUAUUUAUUUAUUUUUUUAAAUCAACUCGACUCGUCAUGGCCUUCAAAAUUGACUUGAAAGUUGGUCUUUGUUUUGUCUGUCGGAUUUGGUCCAAAUUUAGCCCAAAAAUAGAUGUGAAGUAACAGUGAAAUUCUGCGUGACUUCUACGUGCUGUAAUGUGCGUGCGCGCAGAACUGGAGCGGAGGACGUCACCAUGGAAACGAGGCGGCAGCCCAACCGUCAAGCAGCUGAUCGCUGACACUCAAUGUGGUUUCACUUUUUUUUUUAGAAAUGGUUUAGCGUCGUCAGAAAAAGUCCGUUAGCAUCUCAAAGAAGUGGCAGAAAAAAACAUCGAUGACACAGGAUAAGUUCCUGAUUUUAACAUUUCUGAAGGGAGCUGCUGACAGAGAGGAUGAAAACAUACACAUUUGGAUGUCCACGCUGUAGGAGCAUUACUAAAUAAUGCUUAUGUUCCUAGGUUCUUCCAUGCUGAUGGCUGUGCUCUAGUCAUUUUUAGACAUUAUGAACCAUGAAUAAGUUUAGCUCCAACCCCAGUUAAGCGGACCUGAGCAGCUGAUCAAGGAUCAGCAGAAACUCUGCAGAACAUUGGUCCUUCAGCCCAGGACUGGACACCAGUGUUAGUGUCUGUCUCAGAAGCUGAAGAAAAAAGGCCACACCUUAUAGGAAAUAAACGCCUCCUAAGUGUACGGAAAUACCUGGCUGAGGAGAUCAGUGACAUAAACCAGAUAAAACUGUCAAUGGUCUGAGACAGCUACAAGCCACAAAAACAGUUCAUAGUUCCUGCAUUUCUAUUAAUGCAUUAAUGAAUAACAAUAAUUAAAAUAAAAUGUAAUGUCAAGGUUUUGUGUUAAUUCCAGCUAUGUUGAGUAUUCUGUGAAUAAUUUUGAUUUUAGGUGCAUAUUCUUAAUUCUUUGCAAAACAACCUGAACUGUUUGCUAUUGAAAGGUUGGUAUGAAGUUUAAAUAAAUUAAAAAAUAAUAUUCUUG
Molecule: long non-coding RNA, 1486 nt
Organism: Carassius auratus (goldfish)
Lineage: Eukaryota; Metazoa; Chordata; Actinopteri; Cypriniformes; Cyprinidae
Exons: 7
Source: RefSeq, a predicted model, not a curated record